UACGUAGGGUGCAAGCGUUAUCCGGAAUUAUUGGGCGUAAAGAGCUCGUAGGCGGUUUGUCGAGUCUGCUGUGAAAACCCGAGGCUCAACCUCGGGCCUGCAGUGGGUACGGGCAGACUAGAGUGCGGUAGGGGAGAUUGGAAUUCCUGGUGUAGCGGUGGAAUGCGCAGAUAUCAGGAGGAACACCGAUGGCGAAGGCAGAGCUCUGGGCCGUAACUGACGCUGAGGAGCGAAAGCGUGGGGAGCAAACAGG
RNAcentral lists this ribosomal RNA (253 nucleotides) under uncultured bacterium. RNAcentral's name for it is "partial 16S ribosomal RNA". It matches the Rfam family "Bacterial small subunit ribosomal RNA", at positions 524 to 776 of the family's 1533-position model. The record is from RNAcentral.